CGGAUUNAAGGCUGAAAUUCGCCUUCAUGAAGCCGGAAUUGCUAGUAAUGGCAGGUCAGCAUACUGCCGUGAAUACGUUCCCCGGGCCUUGUACACACCGCCCGUCACACCAUGAGAGUUGGGAAUACCCGAAGCCUGUGAGCUAACGAAAGAGGCAGCAGUCGAAGGUAGAAUCAAUGAUUGGGGUGAAGUCGUAACAAGGUAUC
RNAcentral lists this ribosomal RNA (206 nucleotides) under uncultured bacterium. RNAcentral's name for it is "partial 16S ribosomal RNA". It matches the Rfam family "Bacterial small subunit ribosomal RNA", at positions 1294 to 1500 of the family's 1533-position model. The record is from RNAcentral.